This 205-nucleotide ribosomal RNA is filed under the name uncultured bacterium. RNAcentral describes it as "partial 16S ribosomal RNA". It matches the Rfam family "Bacterial small subunit ribosomal RNA", at positions 570 to 774 of the family's 1533-position model. The record is from RNAcentral.
CGUAGGCGGUUUGAUAAGUCAGAUGUGAAAGUCCAUGGCUCAACUGUGGAAGUGCAUUUGAAACUGUCAGGCUUGAGUAUCGGAGGGGAGUGUGGAAUUCCCGGUGUAGAGGUGAAAUUCGUAGAGAUCGGGAGGAACACCGGUGGCGAAGGCGACACUCUGGAUGAAUACUGAUGCUGAGGCGCGAAAGCGUGGGGAGCAAACA